This is a non-coding RNA of Lacerta agilis (Sand lizard), 72 nucleotides long. Lineage: Eukaryota; Metazoa; Chordata; Lepidosauria; Squamata; Lacertidae. The record is from the annotation of a RefSeq genome assembly.
GGGGAUGUAGCUCAAUGGUAGAACAUUUGCCUCACAUGCAGAAGGUCCCAGGUUCAAUUCCCAGCAUCUCCA